UUUUAGUUUAUUUUAGAUGGUUUUUCUUCUUCUUUUUCGUGAUUUCAAUUCUAAUGUAUUGUCCCAAACUAUGAUUUGAAUAUUAUAUCUGUUUUGUUUCAGUCAAUUUAUUUUAUGUUUUUUGUUAUUUAAGUGAUGAUUACUAGCAUGAGUGGUUGAAAAAGAUUGUCUAGAUGAAAUUUUUUAAUGCCAUUUUCAUGUCAAUACCUAUCAAUCGUGAUAUCUCUGAAAUGAUUUGAUGUGGUUUUCUAGAGUUCUACUGAAAGGGGUGCUGAAUUAU
This 280-nucleotide long non-coding RNA is filed under the name Lathyrus oleraceus (garden pea). Its description in RNAcentral is "Pisum sativum (pea) long non-coding RNA (PSAT_LNC038764)". The record is from RNAcentral. Lineage: Eukaryota; Viridiplantae; Streptophyta; Magnoliopsida; Fabales; Fabaceae.